This is a ribosomal RNA of Fluviicola taffensis DSM 16823, 114 nucleotides long. The record is from Rfam. Lineage: Bacteria; Pseudomonadati; Bacteroidota; Flavobacteriia; Flavobacteriales; Crocinitomicaceae.
UUAGGUGUCUAUAGCAACGAGGUCCACCUCUUCCCAUUCCGAACAGAGAAGUUAAGCCCGUUAGCGCUGAUGGUACUGCCCUUUUGAGGGUGGGAGAGUAAGUCGAUGCCACUU